UACGAGGGGGGCGAGCGUUGUUCGGAAUUAUUGGGCGUAAAGGGCGCGUAGGCGGUCGGAUAAGUCUCAUGUGAAAUCUUCGGGCUCAACUCGAAGUCUGCACGAGAAACUGUCCGGCUUGAGUGUGGGAGAGGUGAGUGGAAUUCCUGGUGUAGCGGUGAAAUGCGUAGAUAUCGGGAGGAACACCUGUGGCGAAAGCGGCGCACUGGACCAUAACUGACGCUGAGGCGCGAAAGCUAGGGGAG
This 245-nucleotide ribosomal RNA is filed under the name uncultured bacterium. RNAcentral's name for it is "partial 16S ribosomal RNA". It matches the Rfam family "Bacterial small subunit ribosomal RNA", at positions 524 to 768 of the family's 1533-position model. The record is from RNAcentral.